UAGUACCUUACUACUUGGAUAACCGUGGUAAUUCUAGAGCUAAUACAUGCUAAAAACCCCGACUUCGGAAGGGGUGUAUUUAUUAGAUAAAAAACCAAUGCCCUUCGGGGCUCCUUGGUGAUUCAUAAUAACUUAACGAAUCGCAUGGCCUUGUGCCGGCGAUGGUUCAUUCAAAUUUCUGCCCUAUCAACUUUCGAUGGUAGGAUAGUGGCCUACCAUGGUUUCAACGGGUAACGGGGAAUUAGGGUUCUAUUCCGGAGAGGGAGCCUGAGAAACGGCUACCACAUCCAAGGAAGGCAGCAGGCGCGCAAAUUACCCAAUCCCGACACGGGGAGGUAGUGACAAUAAAUACUGAUACAGGGCUCUUUUGGGUCUUGUAAUUGGAAUGAGUACAAUUUAAAUCCCUUAACGAGGAACAAUUGGAGGGCAAGUCUGGUGCCAGCAGCCGCGGUAAUUCCAGCUCCAAUAGCGUAUAUUAAAGUUGUUGCAGUUAAAAAGCUCGUAGUUGAACCUUGGGCCUGGCUGGCCGGUCCGCCUCACCGCGUGCACUGGUCCGGCCGGGUCUUUCCUUCUGGGGAGCCGCAUGCCCUUCACUGGGUGUGUCGGGGAACCAGGACUUUUACUUUGAAAAAAUUAGAGUGUUCAAAGCAGGCCUAUGCUCGAAUACAUUAGCAUGGAAUAAUAGAAUAGGACGUGUGGUUCUAUUUUGUUGGUUUCUAGGACCGCCGUAAUGAUUAAUAGGGAUAGUCGGGGGCAUCAGUAUUCAAUUGUCAGAGGUGAAAUUCUUGGAUUUAUUGAAGACUAACUACUGCGAAAGCAUUUGCCAAGGAUGUUUUCAUUAAUCAGUGAACGAA
Molecule: ribosomal RNA, 854 nt
Filed under: Polyphilus sieberi
Lineage: Eukaryota; Fungi; Ascomycota; Leotiomycetes; Helotiales
Description: SSU rRNA
Rfam family: Eukaryotic small subunit ribosomal RNA
Source: RNAcentral